GCUGUUCAAGCUGGUGCAUGUCUGCGCGGUCUAUUGCCGGUUCUGCUUCCGCCGCGAAAUGGUGGGACCGGGGAAAGAGACCGCUCUCUCCGAUGAAGUUUAUUCAAAAGCGCUGGAUUAUAUCCGUGCCCAUCCUGAAAUUNNNNNNNACCGGCGGCGAUCCGCUGAUGUUGUCGGCGCGGCGGCUCAAGGAGGUCAUGACCGAUCUCGCUGCCAUCGAUCACAUCAAGAUCAUCCGCAUGCACACCCGCGUUCCGGUCGCCGAUCCGGCAAGGGUGACCGACGAGACAGUUGCUGCGCUGAAAGUGACGGGCGCGACAACAUGGGUGGCGCUGCAUGCCAAUCAUCCGCGGGAACUGACGGCAGAUGCGCGCGCCGCCUGCGCGCGCAUGAUCGACGCCGGCAUUCCGAUGGUCAGUCAGUCGGUGUUGCUGCGCGGUGUGAACGACGAUGCGGCGACGCUGGAGGCGCUGAUGCGCAGCUUCGUCGAAUGCCGCAUCAAGCCAUACUACCUGCA
This 517-nucleotide unclassified non-coding RNA is filed under the name Hevea brasiliensis (rubber tree). The record is from RNAcentral. Lineage: Eukaryota; Viridiplantae; Streptophyta; Magnoliopsida; Malpighiales; Euphorbiaceae.